GAUGAACGCUGGCGGCGUGCCUAAUACAUGCAAGUCGAGCGAACAGAUAAGGAGCUUGCUCCUUUGACGUUAGCGGCGGACGGGUGAGUAACACGUGGGUAACCUACCUAUAAGACUGGGAUAACUUCGGGAAACCGGAGCUAAUACCGGAUAAUAUUUCGAACCGCAUGGUUCGAUAGUGAAAGAUGGUUUUGCUAUCACUUAUAGAUGGACCCGCGCCGUACUAGCUAGUUGGUAAGGUAACGGCUUACCAAGGCGACGAUACGUAGCCGACCUGAGAGGGUGAUCAGCCACACUGGAACUGAGACACGGUCCAGACUCCUACGGGAGGCAGCAGUAGGGAAUCUUCCGCAAUGGGCGAAAGCCUGACGGAGCAACGCCGCGUGAGUGAUGAAGGUCUUCGGAUCGUAAAACUCUGUUAUUAGGGAAGAACAUACGUGUAAGUAACUGUGCACGUCUUGACGGUACCUAAUCAGAAAGCCACGGCUAACUACGUG
RNAcentral lists this ribosomal RNA (497 nucleotides) under uncultured bacterium. RNAcentral describes it as "partial 16S ribosomal RNA". It matches the Rfam family "Bacterial small subunit ribosomal RNA", at positions 28 to 507 of the family's 1533-position model. The record is from RNAcentral.